Molecule: ribosomal RNA, 160 nt
Filed under: uncultured bacterium
Lineage: Bacteria
Description: partial 16S ribosomal RNA
Source: RNAcentral
CACGGAGUUAGCCGGCGCUUCUUCUGCGGGUAACGUCAAUUGCUGUGGUUAUUAACCACAACACCUUCCUCCCCGCUGAAAGUACUUUACAACCCGAAGGCCUUCUUCAUACACGCGGCAUGGCUGCAUCAGGCUUGCGCCCAUUGUGCAAUAUUCCCCA